Molecule: small RNA, 478 nt
Filed under: uncultured Glomus
Lineage: Eukaryota; Fungi; Glomeromycota; Glomeromycetes; Glomerales; Glomeraceae
Description: SSU rRNA
Rfam family: Eukaryotic small subunit ribosomal RNA
Source: RNAcentral
AGCAGCCGCGGUAAUUCCAGCUCCAAUAGCGUAUAUUAAAGUUGUUGCAGUUAAAAAGCUCGUAGUUGAAUUUCGGAAUCAGUACGCUGGUCGUGCCUUCGGUAUGUACUGGUGUCACUGGUUUCUCCCUUCUGAAGAACCAUCAUGCCAUUCACUUGGUGUGGUGGGAAAUCAGGACUGUUACUUUGAAAAAUUAGAGUGUUUAAAGCAGGCUCGCGCUUGAAUACAUUAGCAUGGAAUAAUGAAAUAGGACGUUAAUCCUAUUUUGUUGGUUUCUAGGAUCGACGUAAUGAUUAAUAGGGAUAGUUGGGGGCAUUAGUAUUCAAUUGUCAGAGGUGAAAUUCUUGGAUUUAUUGAAGACUAACUACUGCGAAAGCAUUUGCCAAGGAUGUUUUCAUUAAUCAAGAACGAAAGUUAGGGGAUCGAAGACGAUCAGAUACCGUCGUAGUCUUAACCAUAAACUAUGCCGACUAGGGAU